RNAcentral lists this small RNA (991 nucleotides) under Arabidopsis thaliana (thale cress). RNAcentral's name for it is "ATSL159330". Lineage: Eukaryota; Viridiplantae; Streptophyta; Magnoliopsida; Brassicales; Brassicaceae. The record is from RNAcentral.
AAAAAUAACAAACAAUUUUUUGGUGUCUAUAAUAACAAGUCUAUUUAAAUAUAUCCAUUCAGACACUUUUUUACUGAUCUAUAUCCAAUCUAUAUACCACGUCCGUAAUAACAGGAGAUUCGAUUAACCGUGGGUUGUAAAGAAACCAGAGUUCCAUGUCCAUAAGGUCUUGAAGGUGGAGGUCUCUGCAAGCUGAAAGAAAAUCAUCAAACAAUUUUUUGGUAUCCAUAAUAACAAGUCCAUUUAAAUAUAUCCAUUCAGAAACAUUUCUACUGAUCCGUAUCCAUUCUAUAUACUAUGUCAAUAAUAACAGGAGAUUCGAUUAACCGUGUUUUGUAAAGAAACCAAAGUUCCAUAUCCAUAAGGUUUUGAAGGUGGAGGUCUCUGCAAACUGAAAAAAAAAAAAACAAAAAUUUGUUGGUGUCCAUAAUAACGAAUCCAUUUAAAUAUAUCCAUUCAGAAACCUUUUUAGUGAUCUAUAUCCAUUCUAUAUAGCAUAUCCAUGAUAACAAGAGAUUCAAUUAACUGGAAUCUCGAUGCUACGUACAUGAAACGAGUUGACACAUGAGAGAGAGCAAAAAUCAAAUCAAGCCGCCAUUGUUGAAGAAGAAGAAGUUUCUUAGAAAACUGAAUCUCAAAUUUAUGUCAAAACUAAGAUUUAAAUUGCAAAAUAAAUCACAAUCUACAAUCAAUAAAAAUGAAUAAAAUAUUGAACUCUCCAAUCAAUCCAUAAUCUCACAACAAUCCGAGAAAUUCUAUAAUAUAGAAAUCUCAAAUUCUGCAAAAUUUGAAUACCCAAUCUCCUAAGUGAAAGAAAAACUUCAUACCAUCAAAAAUACCAAAAUAAAGAAACACGUGAUUGAACCCAACAAAUAAUUAUAAGGAGAUAACUUUUUUUUUGAGAACCAGACGCAACUAAAGUUGCGUACAUAAAGAGAGAUAGAGAGAGAGAGGGAGAGGGAGGGAGAGAGAGAGAGAGAGAGAGAGAGAG